CGCCGCGGGCGCCGGCGCGAAACGUUCGUUCGCGAGACUACCUCCGCGUGGUGGGCUCGUGACGUCAGCUAACCUCAGUGUGCGGAGAGCGACCGCAGUGUACACCAUCUCCACGUUUUGGCAAAGAAGAAGGCAGUUAUCGUUGCUGAGUGAACGAGUUUUGACCACGUCGUACCGAUCAGCUGGACAGUGAGUGUUAUUUAUUAUCGGCCACCUCUUCCCCUGCCUUCUCGUUCCACCGGAUUUUUAUUCGUCGGUGAAUAGACUCGGCGGAUGAAACGACGCGCAUACGUCGGGCGCACAAACGUAGCAUUUCGAGACGUGGCCAGUGAUAAUUGCGAACGCGCCGGAUACGCGAUUUUAUCCUUUGAUGGCAAGUUUUUCCUCCAUGAGGUGGAGCGAGGUGGAGGCGGAGUUUUGUUCGUAACGCGUGAGUGACGAAUCGAAAACGGGUCGCGUUACACCUUGACAGACCAAGGUGACCAAUCUUCCUUCUUGAUGAAUACGACGACGUCGAAAAGGAGCACGAUCGGUGGCCACGCGGUUGACGCUCUCACCGCCGGUUGUAUCUCCGAAGGAGUUGACACCUAGCACGAGGAGCGUCUACUGCGCAGCUAGCGAGAGAAACGAUUCCGAAGGGAUCAUCCUCAUCCUUCGUACAGUGGUGAUACAGUGGUGUUGUUGUUGUUAUUUGUUGUUGUUGUAUCGAUAUUUGGUGAUACACGUGCCCCGGUGAUAUAUAUAUACGAGUCGAACUGACUACACUGGUUCGUGUUCGCAUAAUUUCAAAUUCUCUUCCCUCGAAAGCGUGGAAAUAACGAGUCGCCUCUCCUUCCGCUCCUUUAUCAAGUGUUCUUUUCCACUGUGUUUUACCAUCGAGCCGCGGAAGGCGCGCGUGUCAAACGACAUAACGGAUACCGCGGCCUAGCCUAGAAUUCGGCAAAACAGUUUCAGCGGAUUUGAUUUCGCGGAGGUCCGCGUGAAAUCGACGACACGUGGAUUCGGAUUCCAAUUCGUUCCUCACGUGGUCGUGUCCAACUGCUCUUAGUGGCGCUUUUCCGCGACUGUAACGCGCGACUGUUGCUCGCGAUCAAUUUGAAAGUUGUCGGGUUAUCCUUGUGCGCUCGUUGAAUUUUUCCGUAUCGAUGUUCCGUAUCGACGUUGCAACAUGGGACGUGAUCGAUGAGUGUUCGACCGAUGAGUGAAUAGGGAAUGAAAGGUUAGGGAAAAAAAGAAAAAAGAAAUAGAGAGACUCUCCGUCAAACGAUUCUUCCGUCCUGUUGUCGAGAAUCGAAACGCGUGUGGUGUGUGUCACUUUCAUGUUGCGAAUAGAAGGAGAGGGAUGACGGUGCAUCGUCGUUGCGCUGCAGACACCGUCGAAGAGGAGGAAGAAGACUCGUGAAUUACGUAAACGACGAUCAUCGGUGCUGACAACGAGACAACCAUUAGAAGUAGAAUACGUCAGUUGUUGUUUGCGAUUCUUCGUAGGAUUUUUCGGAUCCGCAAGCACGCGGAAUCAAGCAGACAGCGUGGAGCGCUCGGCGAUCGUGUGGCCGCGCGCCGCGGACCUCUAUCUUUAUCAACCAGGCUGUGCAUUUCUCACCUACUAUAGUCGUGACAGCGCAAUCAGUGCCCAGAACGCUCUGCAUGAGAAGCGGACUUUACCAGGGGGUGUGACGGGCGACCGGCUGGCCGGGGGCGCCGCACACCUCCUCCAUCUCUUCUUCUUCUUGCCACGACCACAACACACAAUGUAACAACAACUACCACUACUAGAGUCGUCCGCGUGAACCACGUUCUCAAUGUACUCGAUGUGGUACGUCACCAUACCCCUACUCGGUGUCUCUGAAAGAUAUGCCAUCCUUAUUAAGUUUUAACGUGUUUCACUUUUUUACGUUGUCGUUGCCUCACAGUUAGUGUUCCUCAGUGUUUUUUUUUAACGAGAAACUCGGAGAACCAACAACAAAAUGAUUUGAACGCCCUCGCUGUGCGUGUACGACGCACGUGUGGCGAAGAGAGUGCGCUGCGAUCGGGAGCCGAGACACUUUGCAUUAAAUUAACUAUCGAGUAAAACGUUGUACGCGGUCGUUACGUGUCGUUACGAGAACGUUUCAUAGGUUUAUUUAUUCGGUUUGUAACUACCCUAUUCUUCCAUUCUUCCGACAACUACACGCCUCGUAUGAAAACAAAUUUUCGUUCGCGGUAUUAUUCAUUCCCCUUAAUUAAACCGCUUCGUCGAAUUUCAGUUUUCAUGCAAAUCGAGCUUUAAUUAAAUCGAACAAUUUCACGGUUGUUUAAUUAUUUUUCUAAAAGGUUAUCCUCCCUGUUCGUACAUGUUAUCCCAGCUAUUCGUUUUUCCUUUUCUUCUUUGAUCAUUUAAACAAAAGAUUGACGGAUCGUCCGUUCUGCGAUACCGCGAAUCGGGAUACGAUUCGCGAGAUAAAUUUUACACGUGGAAGCAGUGGCAUUCUUCGCGCACACGUACGUAUAACACACCAAUCAACAUAUUAUGUAUAUAUUCUAUAUUCUAUAUCUAUAUAUGAUAUAUAUAUAUAUUCGCUGAGUUCCGUUACAAUGUGACUUGUGGUUGGUUUAGUUUCGUUGGUUUAUCGGUGUUCGAUGUUGGCUGCUAUUGUUGGUUGUUAGGUGUUUAGUGGUCACUCUGUGUUGGUGCUCACCCUAUCGACUCCUUCCUUGUACCCGCAACCCCGACAACCUGCACCCCCUUUCUCCGACAACCCGAAUCCCAAACUUGAUGUUAGAAGUUACAAUGUCAAGCUUGUCUCCUGCCACGAGCAAUCUUAUUCGGCAACGGAAAGAUCCGGCAGCGUUGUUAACGGUGUACCAAAUAUACGGUAAGAUUUUUCUUUUUUUUUUUUUUUGACAAUCUGUUAUUCCAGGCAGCAUGUUAUUGUUAUUGGUAAAAAAGAGGAGGGAGAAAACUAACAAGGGGAAUUUUUAACACCGUAAAAAAAAUUCUUAUUUGUUUAAAAUCUUGCAGGUUUGUAAAGUAUUUGAAGUAAAAUGUUAGGCUAAUUUUGUUUUUUUAUUAUAAUAUAAAGUAUAUAAGUCAGUUAUAUUUCAGAAAGAAGAACACCCUCGGCUUGAAAAUUAUAACAAAUAUGAAAGGAAAAGCGACUAAUUUCUAGAGCGAUGCUUUUAAUCUGAAGAAUUCUCGGAAGAACGAGUAUAAAAAUUUAUUUGAUUUCUUACAAAUCUGCAAGUUUAUUGAUGAUGAUAAAUUAGAAUUUGUGGGAUAUCGAUGUUCCCUUGUGAGCAAGUGUCGCAUGAUGAAAAUCCCUGGUUAAUCAAGAAGAAGAACGUUUCGUUUAUGUAAAUGUUUACUAAUCAGCUAUUCUGAUAAAAUAUUCACAAAAAAAAAAUCAUUCGUUGAUUAUUUCGAUAGGAGAUCGUUCUUUAAGCUAUAUAUGGAAUAUCAAUGGAGUGUUUAAACGAUGGUAAAAAAAGCAUGUUCGUGGUCUGUGAACGUUUUUUUAGUCUCUUUUGUCAAGAUUGUGAAACUAAUUUGUGCAAUUAUAAUGCAGAAAUUUUAAUUAUAAACGAUACAGAUUUUAAUAAUAUAUCGUGAAAUCGUUUUGGAAUCAAAAACAAAAAAAAGUAUUUUUUUCUAGAUAAUUAAAUAAUACGCACUAUGUAUGGAAAAAUUAAUAUUGCGUUUAUAUUUCCUUAACAGUUUUAAGAAUUUGCUUCAAUCAAUGAACCAUCCAUUUAUUAUAUAAAAGAAUUCGUGGGAACGCGUACGAAUAUAUAGAAAAUUGAUAUAGAAACCGAAGGAAAGGCACGUUUCGCUUCGUUGUGGAAUUUAAAUAUUUUUGAAGAAUGGAUACGAAGCCCAAUGAUUUUUAUGCAGCGCGCGUAAAGGUCUCCCUUACGGAAUACCGUUUCUAGACCAGAAAGGCGUUACUGGAAAUGGCCGGUAUUUGAUUAGCGAGUGGUACGGAUCGUUUGUAUUUCAUCGGAUCAAAUCGAAAUUUAUUUUAAGAAUUUUUUCCAAUUCGAACGGAGAACGGUAUGCAAAGGAUGCAACGAGAAUAUCUUUUAAUUACGAUGAAAAAUAUUCUUAUACCCCGUUCGGGAUAACGUUAAUUAUUAACGAGUGAAAUCCAUGAAUCGAUGAGCAUGUGCAAACGGGCACAAUUUAUUCCUGCCUAUUUGCGCGAUAAAUAUUGAUACUAGAAUUUUUUUUUUUUUUUUUUCAACCGAGCUCGCUAAUUAAGUUUCGUGGGCAGCGAUAGGUUGUUAUCACGCUUUUAAUGGGUUUGGAAAACGAUCGCUGUUUACGAUCCAGCGAGGGGGGAAAAUCUGUGGUCAAAGAGCUUGAAUUCUUAAUAAGAACCGACCGAAAAAACGGAAAAUACUCUGCUCAUUUACUACGCUUUAGGUAAAACAAUUACCCGAGUGGAUAAUGAAAAAAAAAAAAAAAAAGAAUUUUUAACCCGA
Molecule: RNA transcript, 4461 nt
Organism: Apis florea (little honeybee)
Lineage: Eukaryota; Metazoa; Arthropoda; Insecta; Hymenoptera; Apidae
Gene name: CUGBP Elav-like family member 5
Source: RefSeq, a predicted model, not a curated record